RNAcentral lists this ribosomal RNA (362 nucleotides) under Stylonychia lemnae. RNAcentral's name for it is "LSU rRNA". It matches the Rfam family "Eukaryotic large subunit ribosomal RNA", at positions 1 to 363 of the family's 3401-position model. Lineage: Eukaryota; Ciliophora; Spirotrichea; Sporadotrichida; Oxytrichidae. The record is from RNAcentral.
NNAUCUGAAAUCAAGCAGGAUCACCCGCUGAACUUAAGCAUAUCACUAAGCGGAGGAGAAGAAAUUAACUAAGAUUGCCUCAGUAACGGCGAGUGAAGCGGCAAAAGCCCAAAAUCUAAAUCUAGUACAUUCUGUACUCGAAUUGUAAUCUAGAGAGGAUUCACUCAACGGGUGGUGGCGCAGAAGUGACCACGAACGGUCCGCCAGAGAGGGUGAAAGCCCCGUAUGUGGUGCCGCUACUUAACGAGUGGGUUUUCGAAGAGUCGGGUUGUUUUGUAUUGCAGCCCUAAGUGGGAGAUAAACUUCUUCUAAGGCUAAAUAUAUAUGGGAAACCGAUAGCGAACAAGUACUGUGAAGGAAAG